AACCACCACCAUGGGUGGUGUCUCUACGAUAGUAACAGCUUCACAUGUUUCUUUCUUGUGGAGCUUUGACCCUGGCUUUUCAACUUCUCUGACAAUGUGGGUCAUCCCUGCUUUGUAACCCAGAAAAGCAGUCAAUCUGCAAGGUUUUGUUGGAUCAUCUUUGGGGAAUGCCUUCACUGUAAACAUCACAGAAAAGCGUAAAAAAAAUCAACAAUUGCACAACACUAACCAAUAUGCAAAUUGCAAAAAUAGUCAAUAUAAACAACUCACAAGUGAGUAAUAAAUCAACAUUAACAAAUACUGACAUAAAUUUAAUUGCAAGGCACUGAAACAAAUCAAUGCAAACACUAAAACUAAGGAAGCAACAUAGUAAGAUGACACUCUUUAUGAAAACAAAAAAAUGCUUGUAUUAAAAUCUAGAACUGUUAGGAAGUGCGAAUAAUUCAUUUAUAAUAACAAACCAACUACCAAGGCUAGGCAUAGGCCAUCUAUCUACCCACAACUCAUGCAGUCAGAAAAGAGGUUAUUAUUGAAAUAUCAAGGACCUAUUUACUUGUAGAAAACAGUUUUUCUUUUCAACCUUCGAAGAAUUAGAAGACUGUAGUUUUCAUUUUAUAAAGAAAACAAAGGAAAAGAUGGAAAGCAAGUUCAAUUGUGUAUGACAGAAAAUAGUUUUGUAUCUUAAAAAUUUUUUAAAAAUUAUUUGUAUCCAUUCGUAAUAGAAAGAGUCAUGAUAAAUAUAUUUUACAUCUAUUUUUUUAAAUGUGUCAAUUGUUUUAUCUUAUAAUAAUAUAGUUAGUUUUCAUUACUGUAAAUAAAUGUUUUUUCCAAACUUAAUGAUUAAAAGUUAUAGAAUAAUUUUAGUCAUUAGAGGAAAACAGUUGAAAAUAGAACUUUUGUUAUAAAGAAAAAUAACGAGGAAAAAACAUAAAGCUGAUUUCCAAAUCUUAGUUAAGUUUAGAAAAUUGAAAAACAAAAUUUUCAAUUCUCAGAUUGGAAAAUUGAUACAUAUGCACACAAAACUUUAUUUUCCAAUUUACUUAGAACAUUAUUCCCAAAAAUUACUCCAGUUUUCUACAAGUGAGAAAGUACAAAAAGUCCUGAGAUUUUUCAUGCCAAGGAAGAAAUGACAUACAAAAGGACAAACUAUACAUGAAUUUCUUUAAUCAAAAGCCCUAUUUUUACAUCCAAAAAACAGAAGACAACAUUAACCAUAGAGUUCGCUAAUACUAAAAAAACACCAUAAUAUGAUCAAAACUAAACAAGAAGCAAUUUAGGCAACAUCGAUUACUGAUAAUGAAAACAAUCAAUGCAUGACUUCAAAAAAAUCAACGAAUGCAUAUUAUGUAAGGCCAAAUAUAAAUUUAAAAAGCUUCAGCAAUAAUGAGAUUAAAACAAGAAUUAGAAACCUUUUCCUCUGUGGCGCGAGGCUCUCUUCCUUGGAAGAAAUCCCAAAGAACCAUGCCGGGGGUGUUCAAACUUGCGAUGAGACAUGCUUCAACUUCAGGGUACAACUGCAACACUCUAUGAAUUUCAAACUUAUUUUCCUUGAAAAAGGCAGAAAAUUCACAACAACAGAAAGCAACAAAUUUUCAAAUGAUAUUUGGUUAAUCUCAAAUGCUACUGCUUAUCAAUCUGUGUGUAUAAAACCAGAGAAACACUAUUCUCUCCAAGUGAAAAGGAUUAAAACAGGUAUUAUCCCAUAAAGGAGCUGAAAAUUGAGAUAUAGUUUCUGGAUAAAAUCAUAAUGACUAAAACACAGAUACAAAUUAAGAGAAACAUUCAAGUCAAUUAAAAAUAAUAAACAUUCUCAAAAAGAAGGGUAAGUUUUAAUAUUUAACAAUUACUUUAUUAAAAAAUACACAAUUGACAAUUUCAUUGAAAUACUGUGUAGUCAGACAAAAGUUUCUUGUAUUUGGAUAAGAUAAGGAAAAGUAAAAUCGUAAAUAAUCAAGAGAAACCAUCAGAUUAAUUAAACCUGAUUGGAAACCUCAAAACGGUUCAUUAUUCAACUUUAAAAAUCAAUUAAAAAAAUUUUUGAAAAAAAAGACUCAGCCAUCAAAAUGCUACAAAACCAAAAGGUCAUACAAUUUCAUCACUCAAUAAUCACGAAUUUCUUUUCUAGAAAAAAUGAAAUUAUAUCAACCCUUGACCUCUAAGCAUUUGAUAUCAACACCAAACCUUAAUAAGUGAAAUGAAAUGCUUCCCAACCAAAGGCCUAUGGCAUAAAAAUUAUGCCAAAUCUCAAAGCUCAGUGGUAUUCCAUUUCAAAUACCAAUUCAUGGUAUCGGCAAAAAGAGCCAUUUCCGAGACCCCAGCCUUGAUUAUUUCAGCAAUUCUCUUAUAAAGGGAAGUCAUUUCAAAAUCACCACCAGGCAAGAUUAUCAGGACAAGAGCAUUAAAAGAACCUUUAAAAAACCUCCAAAACAUCUAUUUACAAAAGAGUAAAACAAGCAGAACCCAACUCCUUCCAGAACCAAGUAGAGAUCUAAGCUAAUCAAAUAUUGAAUCAAAAAAAGCAAACCAAGUAGAGAUCUAAGCUAGAAGUUUAAUUAUCAUGUAUGUUUAUGAAUCAAUGACAGGAAUUGUAAGGUAUUACCUCCCGAUGAGGAGAUCACUGGACGUACUGUGUGCCGAUAAGAACCCUAGAGAGGUUUAGCUAGACAUUUAUAUCGUUCUCGAGAUGAGAUCCAACGGCUGUAAUUAGCAUCCAAUGGGUAUUAUCGUUGGAUGGUUAGGGUUAGCGUUUUGCAAGAAGAGCCGCCGAUCCAGCAGCUAUGGAAACUAGUAAAUGGGCUAAGAAUAGAGAAAGCCGACUACAUCCAGUCCAAUAUUCAAAGGUGGGCUGAGUUGUUUUUUGGUUAGUAACUUUUAAGUUUGGGUUCUGAGAAAAUUUUAAAAUGGUAUUUAGAAAUUGAAAACGUAAAUCAUAAAAUACUAUUUUUUUUAAUUUUGAGUAAAAAUUAUCUAUCAAAUAUUAAAAUAAUUAGUAACUAUUAAAACAUGUAAUAUUACUAGACAUUAUUUUGUAAAUAAUUUUUUUAUAAAUGUAAAUAAUGUUAUCAAAAUAAGAAAUUAAAUUUAUGGGAUAAAUUAUAGUUAAUCAAACUUUACCAUUUUUCUAAUUUUGUUAUAUAUAAUUAUGGUGCCCAAUAAAAAAUGUUAAAUUUCUAUUAAUUAGACAAAUAAAUCUAACCGUGGUUUUAUUUUUUUUUUUUUUUAAAUAAAGAUUCUCUCUCCAAAUUCCUUUCUUAAGUUUUAACUUAAAUUCAUUUGCUGCCUCCUGUGCGGGUGAGCAGUAUUCGGUUCAAAUCGAAAAAAUUGAUCGAACCGAACUGAUUUAAAAUUUUAGUUCGGUUUUUUAUAUAUUUUGGUUCAGUUUGGUUUUUAAUUUUAGAAAUUUCGGUUAUUUCAAUUCGGUUCGAUUUUAAUUAAAAAAAAAUCGAAAAAACCGAAUCAAACCGAUUAGUAAUAAUAAUAUAUUUUUUCAAUAAUAUAGAGAAAUUAAAUCAUAUUAAAAUUAAAAUAUUUUAAUUAAAUUUUAAAAUAUUAAAAAUAAAAUGUAAAAAAUAAAAAAAUUAUUAAAAAUCGAAACUGAUCAAACCGAACCGAAUCGAACCGAAUCAUACCGGUUUGGUUCGAUUCGAUUUCUAAUCAAAAUCGGUUCGGUUCGAUUUUCAUAAAUACUAAAAUUUCGGUUUCGGUUUAUUCGAUUCGGUUCGAUUUUGAACCGAACUGACCGAAUGCUCACCCCUACUCCUGUGGUUUAUCAUAUCUCUGCAUGUAAGAGGAUCCUUCUACCCUUCCUUUGCCUCUAAGGGUAAGAGAGACCUCUUUUCUUUUUUGAAUAUAGUUUCUAUUUUCUCCCAUCCGAUUGGAUUGUAGAUAAUCCUUUUAACUAUUUUUACUCGGUUGUAUUUAAGCAUUCGAAAGAGAUCAUAUAUUUUUUAUAUGCAUAUUUGAAUCUUUGUGGGUUUUUCUCCUCUUUGCUUGUCUCUUUCAUAAUGUUCUAUUUGUAUACUUUAUUUUUAAAGUAAACUCCUUUACUUUAGAGGACAUGCCCCUUCUUUAGCAUGAAUUAUAUUUUUUGUGUCUAAUUGUUAUUUUUUUUGCGAUUGUUGGUCUAAAGAUUCUAAAUUACUCUUUGAUGAUUAUCAUUCGAUAGAGGGGGCAAGAAACAAAAUAAUAGUUGUAUCUAGCACAUGCUCGUAAACAGUUUAGAAAGCAGGAAUGAGAUGACAAAUAAUGAUACCACCUUUAUUCAUUGCCAACACAUAAUAGAUGUAGAGUUUCUAUAUGGUUCGGUACUCAAUGGUUUUCUCUUUAUCUUUCUUCGAAUAUUUUUUAUUUCUUUACUUUUUUUUAUUUUUCACAUUUAAAUUUAUCAAUAUCAACAUCUCAAUAAAUAGCUAGCUUAGUAUAGUUAGGGUUAUAUAAUUUUUUUUCAGUAGGAUAGGCUUGCUUGUAAUGGGAUUGUGUUUUACAUGUAUGAAAGAAUAAAUAUCAAAUACUUAAAUUUUUAAAAAAUUUAUUAAUUUAUUUAUAUUUUAAAAUUAUUCAAUUAAAAUAUCUUUAUAUUUUACAUAAUCAAACUCUUGUAAUUUUUAUGUUACUUUACAAGAUUUAUUUUAAAUUUGAUCAGAAAAAUUAAAUAGUAUGAAUAUUUCAAAUUAUAAAAAUUAAAUAAUACAUAUAAUUAAAAUUAUAAAAACCAACCAAAACAAUUAUUCCAGGUAGGUUGCUAAUGUUUUUUUUUUUUAACAGAAAAAAAAAUUUAUAUUUUACAAAAUAUAAAAAUAAUUUAAUGGAGUGAUUUGAAAAUAAAAACAAACUAGUUUAUUUAAUAAAAUUUCAGGGAUUACAUAAUAAUUUAGCCUAGAUGUAUUUGGGAUGGGUUUGGACCAAGCAAUAUUGUUUUUUCUUUUUAGUCAUAGCCUAUCUGAGGGCCCUCAACUAGAAAAUGAAAUUGCAUUAAUAAAAUUAAUUUGGUUGGACUCAAUUAAAUUUGAUAUAUUGGCUUGGAUUAAUUAUAAAUUCAGUUUCAGUUAUGUUUCUCAAUAUUAACUUUAAUUUGAAACUUAAUUACAAUUAAUUAAAAAGUUAAACUAUUCUAUUGGCUCCUUUCUAGAUUACCUCAGCUUGAUACGGUCUUUUGCCCAGAAAUGCAAGAAAUCUAGAAUGUUUACUUCUAGAUGAUGUGCAAGUCCAUUAGUUCUUUUGGGUCGGAUCUAGAGAAUCCAAUCAGGAUUAAUGUUUUCUGGGUGGAAUUUACAUUUGAGUUGUCUUUUACUGGAACCAAAUCAUUGUACUUUUAGGCCAUAGUUAAUGAUAUUUCAAUCCAAAAUUUGAUACUAAAUUCACAUUGAUUUCACACAUCUCAAAAACCAUAAAGAUGACCUUGACAUAAUACUUAUUAAUAAAUUCGAUUAUUAUAUGGGCAAUCUAUUAACAGAAAAUGGACAUUAAACUGAAAAGCAUCGAACAGAAGUAAUACAAAUACCAUAUGCAUUGCAUUUUGUGCUCAAGCAGACACUUGAAAGCUAAUGAUCUGGAUUAGGAAUACUAUUACUUCAUACAUGCUUCCAUUCAGUCAUCAAGCAAACUGGCUUUGUUAAUGGUACCUCAAAUCAUCAAUGUCAUGCCCUUUGAGAGCAAAAUGGAGCACUGAAAUCAAUGGCAUUCAGAUAUAUAAAUAGCAGUAAAUAAUUUAAUAAGGAAAGCUCCAAACAGGUUCAGUAAUAAUUGAAGCAACAAAACUACAGUCACCAACAAAAACCAACAGAGUAAUCCAACUCAAAAAUUUCAAACACUAGGAGAAAAAGUUGUGAUGUUUAUUUAUCCUCUCCCAUGCUUAGCUAAACUCAAGCCUUAACCCGCCCAUAGAACUUUGCCUUCUCCUGUGUUGUCUGGAAUCUACCAUGGCCAAACUUGGAGGAUGUAUCAAUGAACUUGAGCUUAAUCUCCUCCAAAGCAACCCUAGAUGUCUGGUUCAACAAUGAUUGUCUCAAGGUCACAACUCUCUUCUUUGGUCCCACGCAGCAUCCUUUUAUCAUCAAAUAAUCUUCCUUCACCACACCAUAGUGGGGGAACCCUCCCAUUGGUGUGAUAUCCUUUUCAGUCCUGUUAUUUUUGAAACACAUUAGCCAAAAUUGACAUAGCAAAUUUACAAAAGCUACCAAAAUCUCUAUGAUUUGCCUGAUCAAGGUGCAUAGUAUUAAAAUAGGACUGUAAAGGGAACAAGCAUUAAGAUGGUGAACCUGUCAUAUUCAGUAACUGCAGUAUGAGACUCUUGGCCGCUCUUCCCAAGCUUAUAGAUUUUCUUGUUCAUUUCAGUACGGUGAUGGUAACCAUUCUGUCCAGCCCUAGCAACAGUAAAUGACACCCUAGCUGGAUGCCAAGCACCAAUACAUGCCACCUUCCUUAGACCACGAUGGGUCUUGCGGGGCAGACGGGUCACACCCCAACGAGUAACCACACCUUCAUAUCCCUUACCCUUGGUCACACCAAUAAUAUCUAUCAUCUCAUCCUUUUGGAAAACAGCAUCAAUAGGGAUCUGCUUCUCAAAGAAACUGUAGGCAAAGUCGACCUUCUUGGCAAUAUCCCCACCAUUCACCUGAAUCUCCAUUAGAUGGGCUUUCUUCUGCUUCAACCCUUUCAUCUUUCUUAUCUGCAGAGUCAAUAGUGCAGCAAAUGUGAAGAGUUAAGGAUUAAAGAAGAGCACAUACAAGUUGUACACGAAGGAACAGAACCAUGAAUCUAUUGAGGAUCAGAAAUCCAGCAGAGCCUUAAGGUGCUACUAAAUUAUUGACUGAUGAUAUCUCAUUAACAAAUACAGAAACGAAUGCACAAGGGAAAACUGAAAGUCAUUUACCUGGGUGUGCGCCAAGACCCGAAUGACGGAACAAUGCUUCUUCAGUUUCUCCAAUUGAGCUUGAAUAUCUUUCUUCCCAUCUUCAGAUUCAAACUUCUUAGAGUACUUGGUGAAUGCCUUCUUUUUGGACUUGCACCAGUUCUUGUAGAAUCUCCUCCUCACAUCCUCACUCAAAUGCUGGGCCCACACAGUGUUCAAUGAACGGAGACCACGGGGUGUUUUCAUAUAACCCACAACCCCAACCACCACCAUGGGUGGUGUCUCUACGAUAGUAACAGCUUCACAUGUUUCUUUCUUGUGGAGCUUUGACCCUGGCUUUUCCACUUCUCUGACAAUGUGGGUCAUCCCUGCUUUGUAACCCAGAAAUGCAGUCAAUCUGCAAGGCUUUGUUGGAUCAUCUUUGGGAAAUGCCUUCACUGUAAACAUCACAAAAGAAAAUAAAAGAUCAACCAACACUUAUCAAUUCAUGAAUUGCAAAAAUAAAGUCACUAUAAACAACACACAACAGAGUAAGAAAUCAAUAUCUCAGCUAAUAUUAACAAAUAUUGACACAAUUUAAUUCAAGGCACUUUUACAGGUCUAUGCAAAUAAUAAAACAAUGCAAGUACCAUAGUUGUAGAUAACAUUCUUU
Molecule: long non-coding RNA, 7502 nt
Filed under: Manihot esculenta (cassava)
Lineage: Eukaryota; Viridiplantae; Streptophyta; Magnoliopsida; Malpighiales; Euphorbiaceae
Description: long non-coding RNA (MESC_LNC006215)
Source: RNAcentral